This 253-nucleotide ribosomal RNA is filed under the name uncultured Parabacteroides sp. RNAcentral's name for it is "partial 16S ribosomal RNA". It matches the Rfam family "Bacterial small subunit ribosomal RNA", at positions 524 to 776 of the family's 1533-position model. The record is from RNAcentral. Lineage: Bacteria; Pseudomonadati; Bacteroidota; Bacteroidia; Bacteroidales; Tannerellaceae.
UACGGAGGAUGCGAGCGUUAUCCGGAUUUAUUGGGUUUAAAGGGUGCGUAGGCGGGCUUUUAAGUCAGCGGUGAAAGUCUGUGGCUCAACCAUAGAAUUGCCGUUGAAACUGGGGGGCUUGAGUAUGUUUGAGGCAGGCGGAAUGCGUGGUGUAGCGGUGAAAUGCGUAGAUAUUAGGAGGAACACCAGUGGCGAAGGCGGCUUUCUGGACGAAAACUGACGCUGAGGUACGAAAGCGUGGGGAGCAAACAGG